This is a long non-coding RNA of Chroicocephalus ridibundus (black-headed gull), 3714 nucleotides long. RefSeq lists it as uncharacterized. The record is from RefSeq and is a predicted model, not a curated record. Lineage: Eukaryota; Metazoa; Chordata; Aves; Charadriiformes; Laridae. The transcript is spliced from 4 exons.
UCCUCGCUCCUUUUCCCCGUUUGUCAGGUGGGACCAGUUUCCAGAAACUCGCUCAUCCGCUCUGGGGUGCCUGGCAGAGAAAAGCGACAUUGGGCUGACAAAAGCUGGCGCCUGCCUGCAGCGAGUGCCAAAAAUGACAAAGCAAUUGGGUAAUAGCUGACUGCGCUAUUCAGCCAGAAGGAUGGGAGUAUCCGAGAGGCAGUUUCAUCGGGACUGGCUCCACUCUCUGCUCACCUCUCCUUCAUCCUCCUUGCCCUUUGCUGUAACUCUGGCAUCCUUCUGGGAAUAUUAAUGUUUCAUUUCUUCCAGUCAGAAGAAGCAGGUUCAUCCCAGGACGUGCUUAUCGCGGCGUGGCAACAAGUAGGACAGACGGCAACACGCGGCUGCGGUUCCUGCUGUUGAAUGCCAAGGAGCUGUUAGGCCAGGAGAGAUGCAGAGGUGGGAGCCCUGCCCGCGACAGCAGGCGUGCGGCAGCGUUGCGCCAGCACAAGGGAUGUCUGAAUUAGUGCACGCCUCCGAAACCUCAGCUUUCAAGGAACGAAGCUGAACUGAGCGGGGAAAGGAGCAUUUCUUCCCAGUGGGCAAAGAGAGGAAGGAUGAAAGUCAGGAUUUUCUCCAGCGAUAGCACUCCCCAGGUGGCAAACCCCACAUCUGUUUCCAGUGAACCUACCAGGACUACAAAGCAAACAAAUCGAGAAAUGUCAAGUCUUGAUUGCUCCUGGGUCACCUAUUUGUUUGCGGAGUGUCAUUUCUGGUAUUUGUUUAACCAGCCGUGCCCUGCCAGGUGAAAGCCACCGUCCUCUGACUGAUGGGUGUGAGUUCUCCCCCUGCUCCCAAGAGACAAGUAGGCAUAUUUGUGUGUACAUGUAUGUGGCUUGGCCAGUACCCAGAAGUGACAAAAGUUCCAGCAAAUUUCCUUUUCUCUCUUCUGGCAACCUCCCUGCCCUACUCCCCCUUUUUUCUCCUCCCCGUAUGCCACCUACAGCAUCUGGCAUCUGCUUUGGGAAGAUGCAUGAGGCCAGGUAUAGCCUGUGGAUGCUUUUAAUGUGCAAUGAUGAGUGCUCUCUUCUCCCAUCCCCUCUUUCCUGCUGCAGAGCAGAGUGCUGGUAGUCAUGGCCCUGAUAAGAAUAGGUUGCUUGCUAAGACUCUUACCUGUAAUCAUAGCCCAGCAUCCUAGAGCCACCUAUAAACCAUUUUUCCCUGCUGAUAAUCAGCCCUCAGCUCACCAUGAACCUUCCUGAAGAUCUGGGAAUGGGCAGACAAUAAUAAAACUUGAAGGAUGUUGUAUGGCAAAGGUUGUCUUUCGGGAGAUCAGAAGAUGAUGGGCCUGUAGAUGUAUUCUGUAGAGUGGUGCAGGGUGAAAUGAAUUCCACACACCCUGCUUUUUUGAUGUCUAACAGUAACUUUAACCACAGACAAAUUUCCACACUCAACCCCUAGUGAUGGCCUUGGCUAACGUGACCUGUACUUAGUUAGCACCAUGACCUAAACCUCACUACUGGCCCAUACAACAGUGAGACAUACUUGACCCACAGCUAAUUAUAAGCCAUAUGCACAAGCGUGUACCGUAGCGCCAGCGGACCGUAUCAUCUUCCUAUCAUUCUAGUUCCUCAGUCCUAAGCCCUACUCCCUGUUCCUGACAUUUUCUCUAGCCUCCACUGCCCACCCACAGCAAUAAUUCACCCCAGACUUCAGGUCGAGCACAUCCAUCAUCCCUCCAGACCUCACAGGAAGCCACUUGGUUAGCUCAAGUGCCUUCACAGCCCUGUCCCAGAAUGACAAGAACUGGGUACCAGAUCUUAUCAUCUCUCUCAUAUCUCAUUCAGGAAUAACCCUAGACUUUCAGCCCUUUUUACCCUAAAAGCCUGACUCCAGCUUUAACUGUAAACUACCAGCCAACGCUCCUCCAAACGCAACUCGAAGCCUUCUGCCUCACAGAACGCCAGUAAUCAGGCUUGUCCAGGGCGGGCAAAGAAAGAGGUGGUGCUCCUCAGUCCUUGGUGUCCCUAUCUCUAACCCUGACUUGAGCGUUCACAAACAUGAUGCUCUUUACCUACUGGCUGGUACCUCUGACUGACGGAGCUGUUGACGCCCGCCAGCCCCAGCCCUUGUGACUGUGUUUCUAAGGUCUUUGCUGGAGUCCGGACACAGGGGUGGAGGCAGCCAGUGGGGCUUGCUGGGUGUGGAGGCUGGGAGUUGUGUUUGUCAGGGGUUGUGCUGGAUGGGCCAGGGCAUGUUUUGGUGGAAUUUAGGGUGGAAAGACUUUUGCAGGGGGGGGCAUGGCUUGAAGGAUCAACUGGCUUCCUCCAGCUGCUGAAGGGAUGGUAGGCUGGGUGCAACCUACAGCAUGGGGCAGAGGGGAGUGUGACAGUGUCUGUACAUCAGGGAGAGAGCAGGGAGGCACGUGGUCACAGAGAAGAAGCACUGGGUCAGGGACGAUAAGAAAAGCCUGAGAAUGGCUGAUGUGUUCCACUGACCCCGCUCCUUUCCCAAAACAAGCCUCAUUCAUUGCUCCUGCCUGCUUCCUUCUCACCGCCCUUCCACUGGUUCUUUGUCACCAUCCCCACCCCGUGUCCUCCUGCCUCUGCAUGUCCAGAGCUACUUGCUCCUCAAGAGCUGGUUCUUCAGCCCUCCCCGGCACCAUGGUGCUGCUGCCUUGCCUGCUUUUGGCAGUCAGAUCCCAUCCAGGGGCCAAGCAUAUGAACCCCAGGUUGCUUAUUACAAGGUGCUCUGCACCCCACCUUGCACGUUGACACGUCUUGCUGGUUAGGAGCUGAGGUCCCUUCAGGUGUCCAUGUGUUGCUGCGAAUAACCAGCUUGCUUCUGAAGUUUUUUGGGGGAUUGGGCUUUAAACUUGCUUCAUUUAUUUAUUUACAUUCAAGGUUGGUAUUGCAUUUUUUGUUUCUAAACUGCAUUUAAUAAGACUGUCAUAUAAAAGCGCUCCAAGUUUCUGGGAAGAAUACUUAUUAAAAGUGGUUUUGUAAUUCUCUUACAGUGUGUGGUCUUCGGCUUUUCUGAACUUUUUCUGCGCUGCAUUCAAGUAUAGUUUAGUGCAGCUGGAAAGAGAAAAGCUGACAAUGAGCAGAUCAGACAGAGAGGGAGACGGAGCUGUUUUAUGCUGCUUUUUUGCAACAGACUAAGUAGGUUUUCCCCACCUGCUUAAGGAGUGCCCACAGCAGACUGACUCAGAAACACACCUUGUUCUGAAAGAAAUCACAGCAGCAAAAGAACAUUGUUUGUGGCAGUGGAGAAAGUGCUGAUUAAACGGCCAGCUUUGCUUUGCACACUUAAGGUCACAACUUGUUUCCUUUCCGAAAUACCUUAAGUUUGUUGCAGUAACCAAGGCUGGUGAAGGGAAGGUCCCAACGGAGUACCAAGACCAACCUGCUUCCUCGUUCUUUGCCCUCGCAUCGUUGGGCAACUUUCUUCUAUGUCAUGUCAAGCGAGAACUUCCUCAUCCAAUGCAGCAGCGCUGGACUCACCCUGAACAAAGCAAGUUCUCCUCCCCACAUCACGCACCAGACACCUCCUGAAAUACACCGUGUGUGUGUUUUUCUACGGCCACUUUGGAUAAAGUUACCACUGCAGCUGCUAACUGCGAUAAAACUCGCCACGUGACAACCAAAGAAACAGCAAACUGAGGAGCAAGCAAAUUGUUCGUUCUCACACGCCAGGGUGGCUAUGUGUACUGUCGCUUCACUGCACAAACACAGA